GGGGGUUAUCCUAACACUCUAAUGACUCAUUCAAUCUCACUUAGAAAAGAAUUUGUCAUGUGGUGAGAGUAGUAGGAGGUCCUAGUCUUGGGUGCUUCUAGUAUGACCCAAGGCGAGUGAUAACGGACUUACACUUGUGUGUGUGGUAGGGUUCAACCCAUGGCAAUGGCUUUGCAAAGCAGUAGAGGCCACCACAAGUACACAACCC
This 208-nucleotide long non-coding RNA is filed under the name Vigna radiata. RNAcentral describes it as "long non-coding RNA (VRAD_LNC001619)". The record is from RNAcentral. Lineage: Eukaryota; Viridiplantae; Streptophyta; Magnoliopsida; Fabales; Fabaceae.